This 395-nucleotide ribosomal RNA is filed under the name uncultured bacterium. RNAcentral's name for it is "partial 16S ribosomal RNA". It matches the Rfam family "Bacterial small subunit ribosomal RNA", at positions 523 to 918 of the family's 1533-position model. The record is from RNAcentral.
AUACGUAGGGUGCAAGCGUUAAUCGGAAUUACUGGGCGUAAAGCGUGCGCAGGCGGUUUUGUAAGACAGAGGUGAAAUCCCCGGGCUCCACCUGGGAACUGCCUUUUUGACUGCAAGGCUAGAGUACGGCAGAGGGGGAUGGAAUUCCGCGUGUAGCAGUGAAAGGCGUUGAUAUGCGGGGGAACACCGAUGGCGAAGGCAAUCCCCUGGGCCUGUACUGACGCUCAUGCACGAAAGCGUGGGGAGCAAACAGGAUUAGAUACCCUGGUAGUCCACGCCCUAAACGAUGUCAACUGGUUGUUGGGUCUUCAUUGACUCAGUAACGAAGCUAACGCGUGAAUUUGACUGCCUGGGGAGUACGGCCUCAAGGUUGAAACUCAAAGGAAUUGACGGGG